AUUGAACGCUGGCGGCAUGCCUUACACAUGCAAGUCGAACGGUAACGGGCCUUCGGGUGCCGACGAGUGGCGAACGGGUGAGUAAUGUAUCGGAACGUACCAUUCAGUGGGGGAUAACGUAGCGAAAGUUACGCUAAUACCGCAUAUUCUGUGAGCAGGAAAGCAGGGGAUCGCAAGACCUUGCGCUGAUUGAGCGGCCGAUAUCAGAUUAGCUAGUUGGUGGGGUAAAGGCUCACCAAGGCGACGAUCUGUAGCGGGUCUGAGAGGAUGAUCCGCCACACUGGAACUGAGACACGGUCCAGACUCCUACGGGAGGCAGCAGUGGGGAAUUUUGGACAAUGGGGGCAACCCUGAUCCAGCCAUGCCGCGUGAGUGAAGAAGGCCUUCGGGUUGUAAAGCUCUUUCGGCCGGGAAGAAAUCGCAUCAGCUAAUACCUGGUGUGGAUGACGGUACCGGAAUAAGAAGCACCGGCUAACUACGUGCCAGCCGCCGCCGUAA
Molecule: ribosomal RNA, 498 nt
Filed under: uncultured bacterium
Lineage: Bacteria
Description: partial 16S ribosomal RNA
Rfam family: Bacterial small subunit ribosomal RNA
Source: RNAcentral